AUACGGAGGGUGCAAGCGUUGUUCGGAUUUAUUGGGCGUAAAGCGAGUGUAGGCGGUUUGACAAGUCGAAUGUGAAAUCCCGAGGCCCAACCUCGGAACUGCAUCCGAAACUGUCAGGCUAGAGUCCCGGAGAGGAUGGCGGAAUUCCCGGUGUAGGGGUGAAAUCCGUAGAUAUCGGGAGGAACACCAGUGGCGAAGGCGGCCAUCUGGACGGUGACUGACGCUGAGACUCGAAAGUGUGGGUAGCAAACAGGAUUAGAAACCCCAGUAGUCC
RNAcentral lists this ribosomal RNA (274 nucleotides) under uncultured bacterium. Its description in RNAcentral is "partial 16S ribosomal RNA". It matches the Rfam family "Bacterial small subunit ribosomal RNA", at positions 523 to 796 of the family's 1533-position model. The record is from RNAcentral.